GUCGUACGCUUCUUUUUCCACCGGAGCUUGCUCCACCGGAAAAAGAAGAGUGGCGAACGGGUGAGUAACACGUGGGUAACCUGCCCAUCAGAAGGGGAUAACACUUGGAAACAGGUGCUAAUACCGUAUAACAAUCGAAACCGCAUGGUUUUGAUUUGAAAGGCGCUUUCGGGUGUCGCUGAUGGAUGGACCCGCGGUGCAUUAGCUAGUUGGUGAGGUAACGGCUCACCAAGGCCACGAUGCAUAGCCGACCUGAGAGGGUGAUCGGCCACAUUGGGACUGAGACACGGCCCAAACUCCUACGGGAGGCAGCAGUAGGGAAUCUUCGGCAAUGGACGAAAGUCUGACCGAGCAACGCCGCGUGAGUGAAGAAGGUUUUCGGAUCGUAAAACUCUGUUGUUAGAGAAGAACAAGGAUGAGAGUAACUGUUCAUCCCUUGACGGUAUCUAACCAGAAAGCCACGGCUAACUACGUGCCAGCAGCCGCGGUAAUACGUAGGUGGCAAGCGUUGUCCGGAUUUAUUGGGCGUAAAGCGAGCGCAGGCGGUUUCUUAAGUCUGAUGUGAAAGCCCCCGGCUCAACCGGGGAGGGUCAUUGGAAACUGGGAGACUUGAGUGCAGAAGAGGAGAGUGGAAUUCCAUGUGUAGCGGUGAAAUGCGUAGAUAUAUGGAGGAACACCAGUGGCGAAGGCGGCUCUCUGGUCUGUAACUGACGCUGAGGCUCGAAAGCGUGGGGAGCAAACAGGAUUAGAUACCCUGGUAGUCCACGCCGUAAACGAUGAGUGCUAAGUGUUGGAGGGUUUCCGCCCUUCAGUGCUGCAGCUAACGCAUUAAGCACUCCGCCUGGGGAGUACGACCGCAAGGUUGAAACUCAAAGGAAUUGACGGGGGCCCGCACAAGCGGUGGAGCAUGUGGUUUAAUUCGAAGCAACGCGAAGAACCUUACCAGGUCUUGACAUCCUUUGACCACUCUAGAGAUAGAGCUUCCCCUUCGGGGGCAAAGUGACAGGUGGUGCAUGGUUGUCGUCAGCUCGUGUCGUGAGAUGUUGGGUUAAGUCCCGCAACGAGCGCAACCCUUAUUGUUAGUUGCCAUCAUUUAGUUGGGCACUCUAGCAAGACUGCCGGUGACAAACCGGAGGAAGGUGGGGAUGACGUCAAAUCAUCAUGCCCCUUAUGACCUGGGCUACACACGUGCUACAAUGGGAAGUACAACGAGUCGCGAAGUCGCGAGGCUAAGCUAAUCUCUUAAAGCUUCUCUCAGUUCGGAUUGUAGGCUGCAACUCGCCUACAUGAAGCCGGAAUCGCUAGUAAUCGCGGAUCAGCACGCCGCGGUGAAUACGUUCCCGGGCCUUGUACACACCGCCCGUCACACCACGAGAGUUUUAACACCCGAAGUCGGUGAGGUAACCU
Molecule: ribosomal RNA, 1407 nt
Filed under: Enterococcus durans
Lineage: Bacteria; Bacillati; Bacillota; Bacilli; Lactobacillales; Enterococcaceae
Description: bacterial SSU rRNA
Rfam family: Bacterial small subunit ribosomal RNA
Source: RNAcentral